This 283-nucleotide ribosomal RNA is filed under the name Melipona aff. brachychaeta CR-2009. Its description in RNAcentral is "partial 16S ribosomal RNA". The record is from RNAcentral. Lineage: Eukaryota; Metazoa; Arthropoda; Insecta; Hymenoptera; Apidae.
AUGAUGUUUAUUAAAUGGCUGCAGUAUAUUUGACUGUACAAAGGAAGCAUAAUCAAUUGAUUUUUGAAUGGAAUCUGGAAUGAAAUGAUUAAUGAAAUAUAUACUGUCUCAUACAUAUAAUAUGAAUUUAAAAUUUUUAUAAAAAUUAAAAAUUUGUUAAAACUUUUUUGUGGGACGAUAAGACCCUAUAGAAUUUUAUAUAAAAUAAAUUUUAUAUUAAUAUAAAAUUUAUUUUAUAUUUAAUUGGGAGAAUUAUUAAAUUUAAAAAAUUUUAAUUUUUAUA